CACUGGUCAUAGAGUGGCUUCAUUUCCAGUGGGAUACCCAGAAGAUAUUUUAUUUUAAACUGCAUGACUCCUGCUACAAAGGGCUGUGUCCCACCAUUAAAGCCUCUUUUCCUUCUUGCAACUUGCUAGAAUGGUGCUCAGGUAGCUCCUGCAUCCCCCAGAGUUUCUGCUUGGCUCCCAUCAGGCCAGCCUAAGAUAUUUACCUGUGGGAAAGCAGAAGUCAGCUUGGGGAGGAUAUGUAUGUGAGGCCCUCUGUGUCUCUGCAACGUAGGGAGACGUGGUGGCAAUGAGAUCAGCCAAAACAGGGCUUGGGAAAAACAAGCAUCUCUCCAGGUUAGCCCAGAGGAUGGCAAGUGAAGAGUCCUUCCUUUAUUGCAGACUCAGGUCACUUCUAUGCUGCAGUGCCUCAGCCUGCCUUGGUAAGCCCUACAGAGGCACACAGGCAACGGAGAGGAAGGGGCAAUGCAUGUCAGGUCACACACAGCCCAACAUGUGCAUGCUCCUGGUGAUGGCUCCGUCUGCCUGGCACAUGGUGACCUUCCUGUGCACAUGUGGGAGCACACACGUGUCCAGGGACAGGGAGGAGGGGGGAAGAGGGCAAAUGCCUGCCUUGCAGGGUCACCGUCACCCACAAACCUUUCAGCUCUCCCAGCUGGAGCCAAGUUUCAUCCUCUAGACCUUGUGAACAAAGGCCAGUCCCUUCUUGCUGCACGGCGGGGUGGUUAGAACUCUCCUCAUUAACAGUGUUAUAUACAUAUAAAUAUAUAUAUAUAUCUAUAUCUUUAUAUAUAUUUUUCCCCAGCACUGUAGACAUGAGCUGAACUUCUCUUUAACAAAAUGAGAAAAGGGCCAUUUUAUUUUUUGCCAUUGGUUUGUUUUUGGAACUAGCUCUGUGAAAGGCAACUCUAAAAGCGCAAGUGUGUGUGUAAUGGAACCGAUCAGAAAUGAAACCACCCAACCAAGGAAUGAGCCAAACCCAGUGAUGAAAACAAACGAACAACAACAACAAAAAAAAGCUUUUUAUUUUUUCUUUUCUCAAUGUAUUUAACUUCUGUUAUCUUGUUUCUGUUUCUUUACAUGUAUGAAUGCUCUGCUCUUCUGUGAUCUUAAAAAAAAAAAAUACAAAAAAAAUUACAAAAAAAUACAAAAAUGAAAUAAACGUGAAAAGGAGGUGAUGUUCCUUCGUUUC
RNAcentral lists this long non-coding RNA (1189 nucleotides) under Coturnix japonica (Japanese quail). Its description in RNAcentral is "lncRNA (ENSCJPG00005017421.1)". The record is from RNAcentral. Lineage: Eukaryota; Metazoa; Chordata; Aves; Galliformes; Phasianidae.